Gopherus evgoodei (Goodes thornscrub tortoise) is the source of this 3306-nucleotide long non-coding RNA. RefSeq lists it as uncharacterized. The record is from RefSeq and is a predicted model, not a curated record. The transcript is spliced from 3 exons. NCBI's taxonomy places the organism in Eukaryota, Metazoa, Chordata, Testudines, Testudinidae.
GACGGGGAUGAUGCAGUUCAAAUUCGGAGUCACCUUAAAGACUAACAAAUGUAUUUGGGCAGAAGCUUUCAUGGGCUGGAAUCCACUUCGUCAGAUGUGAACCUUGUACUCAAAUACAUUUUGUUAGUUUUUAAAGUGCCACAAGGACUGCUCGUUGUUUAUGCUGAAACAGACUAACAUGGCUACCACUCUGAAUCUUCAAAUUUAGAGAUGAGGUAGUGGAAAAUUCCAUCAUGAGAGGGAGGAGCUCUGCUCUGCCAAGAAUAACCUGAAAGGGAGGGGCUCUCCCAAAAAUGAGUUGUAGGGCAGGGUUCUGUGUCUAAAAAUAGGUAUGGCAUGAUGGGAGGGGCUCAAAAACUAGAAGCUGAUUGGCUGAGAGGAGCUGACCCUGAGAGACCAACCAGUAUAUAAGGCCAACAGCCAGCAGUGGGUUUGAUAGUAGGCUGAAUGUAGUGAGUUUGGGAUUUCGAGAAGAGCAAGAGAAGAAAGACAUCUAAGGAAAACAGCACGACCUGGCUGGUCAAGAAGCCACAAAAGCAGCAGCAACAGUAGGAUUCUGAGAUUUCCUCAGUAAUGAAGAACUGAUGCUCAAAUACUCACACUGCUAAAUCUAAACCAAGAGCCAGCAUAACCACGGCAGUAUCCUCGGCCCAAGCGCAGCUGUGGAGAAAACACUCUCUGAAAUCAGACAGAUCAGAAGGACCAAUUAGAUGAAUCGGAGAGAAUUUGAGCCCAAGUGAUUCAUGUGCAAACAGAAAAGAAAAUACCCAGAUGAAAAUCGAGGCUUCCAACAGGAGUGGGAGCAUAAGUACUUUUUCGUUGAACGUAAAUGGUAAGGCCACGUGUCUUCUUUGCCAGCCAUGUGUGUGUCAGUUCAAAUCUUCAAACUUGCAGCAUCAUUUUGUUUCUAGCCACGCACAUGUGGAUCAAGAAUUCCCACAAGGUUCUAAACUCCUCACUUUAAAGCUGAAAACUUUGAAAAAACAAACUGAUGUAGAAGCCCAGUUUUUCACCAGAUUUGCCAACCAGUCGCAGACUGUAAAGUUAGCCUCCUAUUAUGUGACCUGGCACAUAGCCCAUGUGAAAAAGCCCUACUCUGAAGGAGAGUCUAUAAAAACAUGCCUCACUGAUGUGAUUUCAAUCCUGUCACCAGAGAAUGAGAAUCUACAGAAGAAAAUGGCUGUCCUGCAGCUUUAAUGCCACACAAUAGAACGCAGAAUCUCCGACCUGAACAGUGACAUUGAAUUGCAACUGCACUCAUAACUUUAGCAGUGUGAGUAUUUGAGCAUCACUUUGGAUGACUCAUGCCAGGCACAGGAUAAACCUUAUUAUCGGCAUUUGUCCGCACUGUGUCUGACUGUGUUGUAAGGGAAGAACUCCUCGAUAUCAUAUCACUAAAGGACAGAACUCGUGGACGAGAUCUAAAGGAGGCGUUGAUGUUGGUAGUUGCAAAAAGCCACUUGCCUUUACAGAAGCUCAUUGCCAUUGCAACGGAUGGGCUUCGUCCAUGUGGGGAUUUGUGAAUGGAUUAGUAGGGCUUUGUAAGUCUGACGAGAGCUUUCCCAAAUUUUGGACAUUUCACUGUAUUAUUCAUCAGGAGCAACUGGUAUCUAAAAAUCUCAAAUUUGAUCAUGUCAUGAAACCUGUCUUGCACAUUGUGAAAUUCAUUCUCUUGAAUGCACCCAAUCACAGACAAUUUCAAAAUCUAAUUGAAGAACUGAAUGAAGAAACUCCACUGAUGAUUUGCCAUUUCACUGUGCAGUUCAAUGGCUCUCGAGAGGUAAAGUUAUUUCCCUUUUUUUCAAGCUCCUGGCACUAGUAAAAUUGUUUAUGGAGGAGAAGCAUAGAAUGCACCCCAAGCUUACAAAUCCUGGAUGGGUUCUAGACUUGGCAUUUCUUACAGACGUGCAGCUGUAUUUGGAUAAACUAAAUGUGGGCUUACAAGGAAAAUUCUGGUUGCUGUCUGAUCUAGUGCAGGGCAUAUUUGCGGUCAAGAACAAACUGCAGUUGUUUCACAGACAAAUGCCUGAGGGAGAGCUGUCCCACUUUCCCUCAAUAUCACAACUUCAAGCCAGAUCAAAAGAAGAUGCAGCAGAACCCCUAAAGCGGAGCACAACUAGGUAUGCGAGCGUGAUUAAAGGACAGUUUUGAGGAAAGAUUUCAAGAUUUGCAGCAGAAAAGACCUCAAAUCAGAUUUCUGAUUGACUCUUUAAGUGCUGAAGCCAGCUGUCUGCAGCCCCCUUUAGUCGCUGAUGAAGCAACAUCCCAGGUGGAAAUAAUUUAACUUUUGGAAGAUGGCAGAUUGAAAUCUGUUCAGAAGACAGAGGGGAUCCUUACUUUCUGGAAAUCUGUACCACAGGAUAAUACCCCAACAUCAGAGGUGCAGCCCUAAAAUUAAUUUUGAUGUUUGCCUCGACCUAUCUUUGUGAGUCUGUUUUCUCGUCACUCAAACAUGUGAAAUCCAAGCACUGAUCCAUUUUGACAGACAGCCACUUAAGAGAAUUGCUGCCUGUGAGCACAACUGAACACAAACCAAACUUCAAGGGAAUUGUUGAAAGCAAAGAUUCCCAGAAGUCCCACUAAGCUCAGGUUGGCCACUCCUGCCCUGGAGGGCAAGGGAGAAGGAUUGACUGGAUAGAGCAGUGCUGAGCAGGAGAGAGCUCCACCCUGACUGGCUGCCAGACUGGGACCUCUGAUACCAAGGGCCAGAAAGGUGCUGGGGCUGCAGGGAAGUGGUGCAGGGAAACAGACAGUAGGGGUUGCGGGACCCAGAGUAGUUUGGGGUGGGGGGAGCAUGGUCGAUUCAGACUGAAGUUUGCCCCUGAGGUGAGGGGCUAGACUUUUGGCUGCAGCGGGCUGCUGAGGCAGGUGCAAGGACUGAGGACUCUUGGUCCCCUGGAUUGUAUUUCCCCCCCCCCGCCCGAAGGGUUGAGUUGGGGGCUCAGCCGGAGGGCCGCCAUCCGGGAGUGACAUGGUUCCGCCACAGACAGUGCAGAAGGUGGAAAUAGCAGACUGAUGGCAGUUCGAGACACCACCUAUAGGUAGUACACUCAGCUGGACUGAGCUAAUUCCCAGAGCACCCAGCAGGAGGCACCACAGUGGUGAGUCUGCGCCCCGUUACAGCCUGUGUCUUUUAUUUUGUUACACUGCUUUAAUCAUAUGAUACUUUAAAUGUAAUUCUAUUGCUUUUUACUAUGUUCUAUACAUUCUUUACUCCUGUUGGAAUCCUGCAACUUGUGCAUUUGGAGCCACAGUACUGUUGCAGAAUUCCAACAGGAAUAAUUCUGUCUGGCUUUAUUAAUUACA